Coffea arabica (coffee) is the source of this 955-nucleotide non-coding RNA. The record is from RefSeq and is a predicted model, not a curated record. Lineage: Eukaryota; Viridiplantae; Streptophyta; Magnoliopsida; Gentianales; Rubiaceae.
AAUUCGUACCUAUGUAACUUGUGUCAAUUAUCGUCAGCCACCAAAAACAGCCAAACUUUGUACAAAACCGCGAGAAAGCUGCGUCUGUCUGCCAAAUCCCUCCCUCUCUGUCUCUCGAAUUACCAUUUGGCAUUUGCGACCUCAGUCACUAAUACUACCUUGCCACUUGCCACCUCUUCUUCUCUCCUCUCCUCUUCUGCGACCCAGAAUUUUCGCGUUCUUUCCCCUUCUAUUUUUUCCUGCCAACUUAAUACCAAAAUUAUCAUAAAUCCCAAUUAUCUCAAAAUCUCCCUCCAGAAAUAUCACUCUAGGGUUUCUAUUUUUUUUCGGAUUACACCUCCUACAAAUAAAUUUAGUUCGAAUUUUUCGAAAAAGUUUCUCCCUUUCGGCCCCAGAAAUGGGGCAUUUUCAUUUAUUUUUCCAGACAUUGGAAGAUCAGCUGGAAUUGGGAUACUGCGCAUAGAUCACAUUGCCUUCCAAGUUUUAAUGGUGUCUGCACUUCGAAGUCAGAGAAUGGCAGCCUUGGCAAGGCUUCUAACAAGGUCGCAUACUAUUGCAGAUGACUUUGGCCACGAAAAUUAGCUGUGCAGCAGUACAUUCACAGAGAAUUCAGGGAGGCAGAUGAAGCAAAUUUAAUUGAUGAAAUAGAUAUGCAUGUGUUUGGUUUGCGGCCGAUGACAGAUCCAUUGCAUUUGGUAUGUUGUAAUGCAUGUAAGAAGCCAAUCAAGGCCAGCCAAUAUGCAAUUCAUGCAGAGCUUUGUAAUUCAUUGAACUGUAGUGAAGAAUUGGUUUGGAGCUUGAAGGAGGCACAGGGAACAAAAAGCCACCACGGAAGGACCGAAAGAAGUUGCUGGCUGUUAAUUCCAACCAAAUUACUACUGUAAUAGAUCGAGGCAAAUUUGAGAUUCUUGAUGCCAGUGAUAUUUCUGCACCGGAAUUGUGUUUGAUGCUCCCG